This 652-nucleotide long non-coding RNA is filed under the name Phasianus colchicus (ring-necked pheasant). RNAcentral's name for it is "lncRNA (ENSPCLG00000019338.1)". The record is from RNAcentral. Lineage: Eukaryota; Metazoa; Chordata; Aves; Galliformes; Phasianidae.
CCUCAGAAGUCUCAGGAAGAUCCCAUACAUGUCCAUAUAUACCUGAGGAUGCUCAGUGGUGCCCAGUGCUUGGCUCUGAGGCACUGGGAGCAAGCUGGAACACAGAGGUUCCUUCUGACCAUCAGGAAGCCCUUCUGUGCUGUGCAGGUGAAGGAACAUCUAUGAUUACCAACAAUGGUCAGCCCCAGACACUGAUGGGAAGGACCACCCAGAGGGAUCUCAGGCUUCCAGGACUUUGCUUAUUGAUGAGAAAGCAGCAGCUGUGUUCAGUAUCCGUGGCUGCCACAGGUGGUCUCAGUAGUGCUGACAUCUCAGAGGGACUCUUCUCUACGUGACCUCCUGAGUCACCAUUUGUUCCUUCUCCUUGUUCACAGCCUCUGCCACUGUCACUGAGGUUCAUCACGCAAGGAUUGAUUUUUCUUGCCCAGGCUUUAGCCAAAUCCUUGCUGCUUUUGUUAUUCACUACACCUGGAGAGGGGAAAGCCCCAUCUCCACCUGACCUCCCCACGCUCAGCUAGCUCAGCCUGCUGCUUGCUUCCCCAUGAGUCUUUCCACCUCUGGGAAACUGCCUACUAUUUGACAGUGGCUUCUGUGAGUUUAAUGACAAGAAAAACAGAAUAAAAACCCAACAUCUUUUAAAAUCCCUUUUUUA